This 245-nucleotide ribosomal RNA is filed under the name uncultured bacterium. RNAcentral describes it as "partial 16S ribosomal RNA". It matches the Rfam family "Bacterial small subunit ribosomal RNA", at positions 15 to 252 of the family's 1533-position model. The record is from RNAcentral.
GAUCAUGGCUCAGGAUGAACGCUAGCGGCAGGCCUAACACAUGCAAGUCGAGGGGCAGCGGGGAUUGAGCUUGCUCAAUUUGCCGGCGACCGGCGCACGGGUGCGUAACGCGUAUGUAACCUACCCUGAACUGGGGAAUAACACUGAGAAAUCGGUACUAAUACCCCAUAAUACACUGGAAGGCAUCUUUUGGUGUUUAAAGCUCCGGCGGUUCAAGAUGGACAUGCGUUGUAUUAGCUAGUUGG